RNAcentral lists this ribosomal RNA (377 nucleotides) under uncultured bacterium. RNAcentral's name for it is "bacterial SSU rRNA". It matches the Rfam family "Bacterial small subunit ribosomal RNA", at positions 523 to 898 of the family's 1533-position model. The record is from RNAcentral.
AUACGUAUGUCCCGAGCGUUAUCCGGAUUUAUUGGGCGUAAAGCGAGCGCAGACGGUUGAUUAAGUCUGAUGUGAAAGCCCGGAGCUCAACUCCGGAAAGGCAUUGGAAACUGGUCAACUUGAGUGCAGUAGAGGUAAGUGGAACUCCAUGUGUAGCGGUGGAAUGCGUAGAUAUAUGGAAGAACACCAGCGGCGAAGGCGGCUUACUGGACUGUAACUGACGUUGAGGCUCGAAAGUGUGGGUAGCAAACAGGAUUAGAUACCCUGGUAGUCCACACCGUAAACGAUGAACACUAGGUGUUAGGAGGUUUCCGCCUCUUAGUGCCGAAGCUAACGCAUUAAGUGUUCCGCCUGGGGAGUACGACCGCAAGGUUGAA